AUUGAACGCUGGCGGAAUGCUUUACACAUGCAAGUCGAACGGUAGAGGGGGCAACCCCUCGAGAGUGGCGAACGGGUGAGUAAUAUAUCGGAACGUGCCCAGUCGUGGGGGAUAACGUAGCGAAAGUUACGCUAAUACCGCAUACGAUCUAAGGAUGAAAGCGGGGGAUCGCAAGACCUCGCGCGAUUGGAGCGGCCGAUAUCAGAUUAGGUAGUUGGUGGGGUAAAGGCUCACCAAGCCAACGAACUGUAGCUGGUCUGAGAGGACGACCCGACACACAGGAACUCAGACACGGUCCAGACUGCUACGGGAGGAUGCAGUGGGGAAUUCUGGACAGAGGCCCCAAGUCGUAGCCGGCCAUUCCGCUGGCAGGCAGAAGGCCCUCGGGUUGUAAACUUCUUUUGUACGGAACGAAAACGUCUCUCUUAAUACGGGGGGCUCAUAACGGUAACGUAAGAAUAAGCACCGGCUAACUACGUGCCUGCCGCCGCAGUAA
Molecule: ribosomal RNA, 496 nt
Filed under: uncultured bacterium
Lineage: Bacteria
Description: partial 16S ribosomal RNA
Rfam family: Bacterial small subunit ribosomal RNA
Source: RNAcentral